This 406-nucleotide ribosomal RNA is filed under the name uncultured bacterium. RNAcentral's name for it is "partial 16S ribosomal RNA". It matches the Rfam family "Bacterial small subunit ribosomal RNA", at positions 29 to 526 of the family's 1533-position model. The record is from RNAcentral.
AUUGAACGCUGGCGGCAGGCCUAACACAUGCAAGUCGAACGAGUGGCGGACGGGUGAGUAAUGUCUGGGAAACUGCCUGAUGGAGGGGGAUAACUACUGGAAACGGUAGCUAAUACCGCAUACCAUCAGAUGUGCCCCGAUGGGAUUAGCUAGUUGGUGGGGUAACGGCGCACCAAGGCGCCGAUCCCUCGCUGGUCUGAGAGGAGGACCAGCCACCCUGGAACGGGGAAACGGUCCAGACUCCUACGGGAGGCAGCAGUGGGGAAUAUGGCACAAUGGGCGCAAGUCUGAUGCAGCCAGGCCGCGUGUAUGAAGAAGGCCUUCGGGUUGUAAAGUACUUUCAGCGGGGAGGCGUUACCCGCAGAAGAAGCACCGGCUAACUCCGUGCCAGCCGCCGCGGUAAUAC